RNAcentral lists this ribosomal RNA (433 nucleotides) under uncultured bacterium. RNAcentral describes it as "partial 16S ribosomal RNA". It matches the Rfam family "Bacterial small subunit ribosomal RNA", at positions 29 to 507 of the family's 1533-position model. The record is from RNAcentral.
AACGAACGCUGGCGGCAUGCCUAACACAUGCAAGUCGAACGAGACCUUCGGGUCUAGUGGCGGACGGGUGCGUAACGCGUGGGAACCUGCCCUUAGGUUCGGAAUAACUCCCCGAAAGGGGUGCUAAUACCGGAUAAUGUCUUCGGACCAAAGAUUUAUCGCCUUUGGAUGGGCCCGCGUUGGAUUAGCUAGUUGGUAGGGUAAAAGCCUACCAAGGCGACGAUCCAUAGCUGGUCUGAGAGGAUGAUCAGCCACACUGGGACUGAGACACGGCCCAGACUCCUACGGGAGGCAGCAGUGGGGAAUAUUGGACAAUGGGCGAAAGCCUGAUCCAGCAAUGCCGCGUGAGUGAUGAAGGCCUUAGGGUUGUAAAGCUCUUUUACCCGGGAUGAUAAUGACAGUACCGGGAGAAUAAGCGCCGGCUAACUCCGUG